RNAcentral lists this ribosomal RNA (205 nucleotides) under uncultured bacterium. RNAcentral describes it as "partial 16S ribosomal RNA". It matches the Rfam family "Bacterial small subunit ribosomal RNA", at positions 568 to 774 of the family's 1533-position model. The record is from RNAcentral.
CGCGUAGGCGGCGCGACAAGUCACUUGUGAAAUCUCCGGGCUUAACUCGGAACGGUCAAGUGAAACUGUCAUGCUAGAGUGCAGAAAGGGCAAUCGGAAUUCUUGGUGUAGCGGUGAAAUGCGUAGAUAUCAAGAGGAACACCUGAGGCGAAGGCGGGUUGCUAGGCUGACACUGACGCUGAGGCGCGAAGCCAGGGAGCAAACG